This 700-nucleotide ribosomal RNA is filed under the name Pseudomonadota bacterium. RNAcentral describes it as "bacterial SSU rRNA". It matches the Rfam family "Bacterial small subunit ribosomal RNA", at positions 28 to 723 of the family's 1533-position model. Lineage: Bacteria; Pseudomonadati; Pseudomonadota. The record is from RNAcentral.
AUUGAACGCUGGCGGCAUGCCUUACACAUGCAAGUCGAACGGCAGCACGGGAGCAAUCCUGGUGGCGAGUGGCGAACGGGUGAGUAAUAUAUCGGAACGUGCCCAGUCGUGGGGGAUAACGCAGCGAAAGCUGUGCUAAUACCGCAUACGAUCUACGGAUGAAAGCGGGGGAUCGCAAGACCUCGCGCGAUUGGAGCGGCCGAUAUCAGAUUAGCUAGUUGGUGGGGUAAAAGCCCACCAAGGCGACGAUCUGUAGCUGGUCUGAGAGGACGACCAGCCACACUGGAACUGAGACACGGUCCAGACUCCUACGGGAGGCAGCAGUGGGGAAUUUUGGACAAUGGGCGCAAGCCUGAUCCAGCAAUGCCGCGUGCAGGAUGAAGGCCUUCGGGUUGUAAACUGCUUUUGUACGGAGCGAAACGGCUUCCCCUAAUACGGGGAGCUAAUGACGGUACCGUAAGAAUAAGCACCGGCUAACUACGUGCCAGCAGCCGCGGUAAUACGUAGGGUGCGAGCGUUAAUCGGAAUUACUGGGCGUAAAGCGUGCGCAGGCGGUUAUAUAAGACAGAUGUGAAAUCCCCGGGCUCAACCUGGGACCUGCAUUUGUGACUGUAUAGCUAGAGUACGGUAGAGGGGGAUGGAAUUCCGCGUGUAGCAGUGAAAUGCGUAGAUAUGCGGAGGAACACCGAUGGCGAAGGCA